This 425-nucleotide ribosomal RNA is filed under the name uncultured bacterium. RNAcentral describes it as "bacterial SSU rRNA". It matches the Rfam family "Bacterial small subunit ribosomal RNA", at positions 359 to 776 of the family's 1533-position model. The record is from RNAcentral.
GAAUAUUGCGCAAUGGGGGCAACCCUGACGCAGCCAUGCCGCGUGUGUGAAGAAGGCCUUCGGGUUGUAAAGCACUUUCACUUGGGAAGAAAGGUUGGUGGUUAAUACCCGCCAGCUGUGACAUUACCUUGAGAAGAAGCACCGGCUAACUCCGUGCCAGCAGCCGCGGUAAUACGGAGGGUGCAAGCGUUAAUCGGAAUUACUGGGCGUAAAGCGCGCGUAGGCGGUUUGUUAAGUCGGAUGUGAAAGCCCCGGGCUCAACCUGGGAAUUGCACCCGAUACUGGCCGACUAGAGUACGAGAGAGGGAGGUAGAAUUCCACGUGUAGCGGUGAAAUGCGUAGAUAUGUGGAGGAAUACCGGUGGCGAAGGCGGCCUCCUGGCUCGAUACUGACGCUGAGGUGCGAAAGCGUGGGGAGCAAACAGG